ACAAAGAAUGAGAUCAUGUCUUUUGAAGGAACUGGGAUGGAGCUGGAGGCCGAGAUGGAGCUGGAGGCCAUUAUCCUUAGCAAACUAAUGCAGGAGCAGAAAACCAAACACAGCACGUUCUCACAACUGGGAGCUAGAUGAUGAGAACACAUGGACACAAAGAAGGGAACAACAGACAGUGGGGCCUCCCUGAGGGACGAGGGAAUGGAGCAGAAAAAAUAACUACUGGGUACUAGGCUUAGUACCUGGGGGACAAUAAUCUGUACGACAAACUUCCGUGAUACGAGUUUACCUAUAUCACAAACCUGCACAUGUACCCCUGAACUUAAAAUAACAGUUUUUUUAAACAAAACAAAAAGAAAUUAAGGUGUAUCUGUGGUGUCAGGUUGUUUUACUAACCUCUUCCCCAUCAGUAAGCCAUAUGUUCAGAGAUGGGUUUUUAGUAGAGAAUCUCUCAUGGGUUCCUUGUUCUGAACAAAAACACAUUUUUGAUAUGGCUGACUAAUGCUGGGAAACAGAACAUAACUGAGACAUACUAGUAGGCCUCUCCAAAACCUAAAACCAUUUUCUCAGUCAAAAAUGUUCAGAAUAGCAUAAAACCAAAAUUCCUUCCAGGUCUCACCAUAGUAAUCCAAGUGAAUAUGUAGUGAUUUGCAGAGAUAUUUGUUUGGCAAAUAUGAAAAGCAUGCCUCUCACAGCAAAGCUCUUUUGUUAGUAAAGUAUCAUUAAAAAUAUAGAGUGUAAUCCUGAGAUCAUGCUCUAUUUAAUCUUCAAAAUAUAUUUAGUAAUUUAAAAAAAGAGCUUGAAAAUAUAAAGUGCUCAUAUUUUACUCAAGGAUUUACAGCCUAUAUAUAACUUUUUUUUUUAAAUACUCAUGCAAAAAGCCUGUAACAUUUUUGUAAAGAGAAUGAGGGUUACUUACAUUACACAUAUAAUUGUGCCAAGACCUCGUAACCUGAGGCAACUUCUCUUUUCUUUUCCAGUUUGCUGGAGAUCCUUCACGAACAGCUUCCUGAGAGUACCAAGAGAUGCUAGGUUAAUGGAGUUCAUUUCAUAGGGGUGGGGGAGCUAAAGGUAGAUGGUACCUACAUAACCAGCCCUCUGUAAAAUCCUUGGGUACUGAGUUUCAGAGUUCUCCUGGAAGAUAACACAGGUUGUAACUUGUUGAUGGAGGGAUUAAGCAGAUCCUGUGUGACUCCACUGUGAGAAAACUCUCCGAAGCUUGCAUCUGGACUUUAUCAUCCCCUGUCCCUUUUCCCUUUGUCGAUUUUGUUUUGAAUCUGAAUCUUCAGUACAAUAAAUCUUAGCUGUGAAUACAACCA
Molecule: long non-coding RNA, 1322 nt
Organism: Piliocolobus tephrosceles (Ugandan red Colobus)
Lineage: Eukaryota; Metazoa; Chordata; Mammalia; Primates; Cercopithecidae
Exons: 2
Source: RefSeq, a predicted model, not a curated record